AUUGAACGCUGGCGGCAGGCCUAACACAUGCAAGUCGAGCGGAUGAAGGGAGCUUGCUCCUGGAUUCAGCGGCGGACGGGUGAGUAAUGCCUAGGAAUCUGCCUGGUAGUGGGGGAUAACGUCCGGAAACGGGCGCUAAUACCGCAUACGUCCUGAGGGAGAAAGUGGGGGAUCUUCGGACCUCACGCUAUCAGAUGAGCCUAGGUCGGAUUAGCUAGUUGGUGGGGUAAAGGCCUACCAAGGCGACGAUCCGUAACUGGUCUGAGAGGAUGAUCAGUCACACUGGAACUGAGACACGGUCCAGACUCCUACGGGAGGCAGCAGUGGGGAAUAUUGGACAAUGGGCGAAAGCCUGAUCCAGCCAUGCCGCGUGUGUGAAGAAGGUCUUCGGAUUGUAAAGCACUUUAAGUUGGGAGGAAGGGCAGUAAGUUAAUACCUUGCUGUUUUGACGUUACCAACCGAACAAGCACCGGCUAACUUCGUG
RNAcentral lists this ribosomal RNA (484 nucleotides) under uncultured bacterium. RNAcentral describes it as "partial 16S ribosomal RNA". It matches the Rfam family "Bacterial small subunit ribosomal RNA", at positions 30 to 507 of the family's 1533-position model. The record is from RNAcentral.